RNAcentral lists this ribosomal RNA (422 nucleotides) under uncultured bacterium. RNAcentral's name for it is "bacterial SSU rRNA". It matches the Rfam family "Bacterial small subunit ribosomal RNA", at positions 355 to 774 of the family's 1533-position model. The record is from RNAcentral.
UGAGGAAUAUUGGGCAAUGCCCUAAAGGGUGACCCAGCAACGCCGCGUGGAGGAUGAAGGUCGUAAGAUUGUAAACUCCUGUUAGAGGGGAAGAAUGACUAAGUUUGGAGCUUAGUAUGACUGUACCCUCAGAGAAAGCCCCGGCUAACUACGUGCCAGCAGCCGCGGUAAUACGUAGGGGGCAAGCGUUGUCCGGAUUUACUGGGUGUAAAGGGCGCGCAGGCGGAAUGGAAAGUCAGUGGUGAAAUCCUACAGCUUAACUGUAGAACUGCCUUUGAUACUUUCAUUCUUGAGUUCGGGAGAGAGAGACGGAAUUCCAGGUGUAGUGGUGAAAUACGUAGAUAUCUGGAAGAACACCAGUUGCGAAGGCGGUCUCUUGGUCCGAUACUGACGCUGAGGCGCGAAAGCGUGGGGAGCAAACA